RNAcentral lists this long non-coding RNA (2378 nucleotides) under Homo sapiens (human). RNAcentral's name for it is "HSALNT0107462". The record is from RNAcentral. Lineage: Eukaryota; Metazoa; Chordata; Mammalia; Primates; Hominidae.
UCCCAGGUCAAAAAUGCAAAUCUUGGCAUCAGGGACACCUCUGCAGAAGCCAGACUUUGGAUUGUUGAACCCAGAGACUGAAUGUACUUGAAAGCAAGGAGACAAUGAAUGCCCAGGAGCUUCAAAAUGGAAAGUCAAAUAGAAGACCCUUCACAUAAAGCUAGAAUCCCGCCAUACUCCAGAAAGAGAAUGAGAAGUCUACCAACCUAUGGGAAGAAGAUGACUGCAAUGCAAAUAAUUUACAGAGGACUAUUAUCCAGGAUAAACAAAGAACUCACAUAACUCUACAAGAAAAAGAUAAGCAAUAAAGGUAAGCAAAAUAUAUGGAUUGACAUUUAACAGAAGAAGCACCUGAGUGAUCAAUAAACAUGUAAGAUGAUAUUUAAAAUCACUGGUAACCAGGGAACUACAAAUUUAAAAUGCACACCUCCAAGAUUUAUAAAAAUUUAAAACCAUCCAAGUGCUGGCAGAGAUUUGGAACAAGUACAUUUGAACUUUGCUGCUCGGAGUGGAGUGUAAAUUGGAAAACAAUUAGGCAUUGUCAUUUAAAGAUUAUGUUCAUGUCGUUUAACCCAGAAUUUCUAUUUCUAAAUACAUACUGUAGCACAAUGCUUCCCAGGUUUUCAAAUUAUGACACAUGUAAACAAUGAGAGUAUGCAAAUAAUGUAUACUGGUGUAAACUUUAGGGAUUAUGAGAGCACUCAUAAUGAGGCACAGAUUUUAAAAGGCUAUUAGGUUCUCUUUGGAUUAUACAAUUAAUAUUUUUAAAGUAAAUUUUUAAAUAUAUGGAAUUCAAUAUUAAAUUUAUCUGAAAGUUCUAAAUAUGAUUUAAAAUAUUUGAGAAUGUUCAACUUUUUCAUGAUUAUAACUUUAUCAGACUUAUACUUGAAAUUGCCAUAUGCAAUCUUUUAUCAUGACUCCUGCAUAAUGAACACUAUACAUACUCAAAAACCAGCAUCAGCAAUAAUUCACUCAAAUAGGUGGUAAAAAGUUUAAAAUUAAUUUCUCAAAAUCAAUAAACAUGCACAACAGUUCUAACUAUAUUUAGAGUAUAAAACAGAUCUUCCUUUUCUUCCAAGGUAAAGUUGCAAAUAAUUCAAAAAUGUGAACAUAUUUUGAAUUCAAUUGGUCUUUUUCAUGUCAACAAUUUCAAAAUCAUACAGAAGUAUGAAUAUGUAUAAAGCCAAUUGUAGCAAGCCCUUUUUCUUAAUAGAAGUGCACAUUUGUCAUAAUUAAACAGAAUUAUCUGUUAUAUUUGAAGGCAGGAAUUCAGGAAUAACAUCUGGUGGCCCCAAAACCCAAGUCUUGACCAGUCUCACCUCUGCUUUUUUGGCUGUGUUUUUUAGGCUGUGCUUUUUGGCCAUCUGGAACACAAGCUCUCAGCAGUUCCUAGGGCCCCUUAUCCACCAUGGGCAAUGGUUCACUUUGAAGCCAACGUUUAAAAUAGAUGUCCAUGUGACAAGCAUUUUAGCAUCUCAGGACACUUAGUGUGCUCACAACUGAAGGAGAACAUGGAGUACCAUAUCUGACUCCAUUUUGCUCUGGUAAUCCUCUGAGAAGAGUGUAAUGAAGCAGCCAGUGUUUGGAGCAACUUGUCCAGGGAUUCUAGCUAACCCAGGCCUCACUAGAUAAUCUCAGGAUGGAGACCACUAUUUUGUAGCACAAUCUGUAACUUAACAUGGCACAACUCUUGAAAAGCUCUAUUAUAGAAAAACUCUUUCACAUGUCAUCAAGCAUGUGUACCAAAAUGUUCACUGAAGUAGUAAAAGCAAAAAUUAUAGGAAACAAACCAAAUGUCAAACAAAGUAAAAAAUAUGAGACAAUGGAAUAGUUUACUCCAUUGAAAAUGAACAUAUUCUAACCACAUGCAAUAGCAUAAGCCAAGAGUAUAAUGCAGAGCAAAGAAGCAAGUUAAAAAUAUAGACAAAUUAAGCAAUAUAUUAUAGACAUUUACUUGGAUUUUAUAAUACAAUAUACAUAGUACAUGUUAUAAGUAAGAAUAAAUUUUAAAAGAAAAAAACACAAAAAUUUAUGAUCAUGAUUCAUUCGAGAAUGGAAUGGGAAAGAAUCAGAAAGUGACACAAGAGGGACUUCAAAGUUAACCAUAACGUUCUUCUGUCCCCACAAAAUGGAGGGUGGCUACUCAAGUGAUCAUUGUGUUCUUUAUGUCUUACUAUUUAUGUCUUUAUGUCUUACUAUGUCUAUUGUGCUUUGUCUUACUGUAUUUUAUGUUAUUUUAUUCAUAAUCUAAUAAAAACAAACAAUGAUAAGACAUAUCCUGGAUAUUUUUAAAUCUAAGUGGUUCCUAAUAUGAAAGCAAUUAUGUAAGUAAAUGCAGCCAUUACACUUAAAAUCUCUACUAUUUAUUAUAACUGGAA